Molecule: ribosomal RNA, 538 nt
Filed under: uncultured bacterium
Lineage: Bacteria
Description: bacterial SSU rRNA
Rfam family: Bacterial small subunit ribosomal RNA
Source: RNAcentral
AACGGGUGAGUAAUAUAUCGGAACGUGCCCAGUCGUGGGGGAUAACGCAGCGAAAGCUGCGCUAAUACCGCAUGUGAUCUGUGGAUGAAAGCGGGGACUGUAAGGCCUCGCGCGAUUGGAGCGGCCGAUAUCAGAUUAGGUAGUUGGUGGGAUAAAAGCCUACCAAGCCGACGAUCUGUAGCUGGUCUGAGAGGACGACCAGCCACACUGGGACUGAGACACGGCCCAGACUCCUACGGGAGGCAGCAGUGGGGAAUUUUGGACAAUGGGCGCAAGCCUGAUCCAGCAAUGCCGCGUGCAGGACGAAGGCCUUCGGGUUGUAAACUGCUUUUGUACGGAGCGAAACGGUCUGGGAUAAUACCCUGGGCUAAUGACGGUACCGUAAGAAUAAGCACCGGCUAACUACGUGCCAGCAGCCGCGGUAAUACGUAGGGUGCGAGCGUUAAUCGGAAUUACUGGGCGUAAAGCGUGCGCAGGCGGUUUUGUAAGACAGGCGUGAAAUCCCCGGGCUCAACCUGGGAAUGGCGCUUGUGACUGC